Long non-coding RNA from Aethalodelphis obliquidens (Pacific white-sided dolphin), 2714 nucleotides. RefSeq lists it as uncharacterized. The record is from RefSeq and is a predicted model, not a curated record. The transcript is spliced from 3 exons. Lineage: Eukaryota; Metazoa; Chordata; Mammalia; Artiodactyla; Delphinidae.
CCUGAGCGUCGUGGGAUGUUUAGCAGCAUCCCUGACCUCUACCCAUGAGAUCCCAGUAGCCUCCCUCCCUUAGUUCUGACAACCGAAAGGAUUUCCAGAAACUGCCCGAUACGCCCUGAGGGCAAAAUCACCCCUGGCUGGAAUCCCUGCUCUGAAGGUCUGGGCUCUGCCUGCGCCUGUGAUUCCAGGAAGCAUCAUGGCCUAUUGACGAUGCAUCAGGCGGAGCCUGAGUUGGUCGAUCGCAUCCUCCAGAAGCCGCAGCCCGUGUAAUGAGCAGACGCCUGUCCUUUACCGCCUUGGUUGUGUGUGGGACGCCACGGGGACUCGUGCAAACCGGCAGCCCAGGGCCUGCUCCGGGCCAGCUCUCCACUGACUCAGCGCUCCUGAGGACUGAUCUCGGCCUCCUCUGAGUUAUUAUAAAGUUAUUAAAAACUAAAAUCAUUGAUGGCCCGGAACUGACUCUGCCUCUUCUUAAUAGGCUCACUAGCAAAUUACAAUAAAAAUAACCUGGGGCUUAUGAAGCUAUUAGUAAAAUGGGCCGUUUACUGUCACCUGGGGACAUGUUACUGUACCGUUUCAGCAUCAAUAUCUGAGAUGAGGUCCAUGGGAAAAGGUGACCAGAGCUGCCACUGAGACAGUUAAUCGGCUAAGAUGUGUCACUCACCGAGCUGAAACCAAAGCCACAGCUACGGGUCUAGCGCUGACCUAGGAAUUCAUUGCAAAAGAGGCAGGAGUGGUUUACUGCAGUGCUGACUGUCCCCUGGGUUCAGAGCAGGCCUGUCCCCGCCCAACAGGCUGAGGCGCGGGGAGAGUGGCCGGUCUCUCACCAAGACAGUGCUGCCGAGUCUGAGUCCGGAACACCAGCGGAGGGACCAAGUCACUCACUCUAAUGACUGGAAUUUCACCACCAUAAACCAGCAGGAGGGCUGAUCCGGUGCAGAUCAGCGAAAGUGGCAUAAAAACGUCGGGCAGCUGGUUAGCAGGGAUGCACAGAUGUUUGUUUCCUCCUCCCGAGAACUGCCUCUCAGCCUCCUCAAAACAGUAUUCCUGCAUUUCCUUUGUCAGCCCCGGGGGUGGGUCCCUGGGCUGGAGGCCAGCUUUGGGCCCCUCCACGUGUCACAGUCCCGCUGCCCCUGCUCGGUAAUCCCGGGUAAAUCCCGAGCCUUCCCCCGGUCAGGAAACACACCCGAGACCUGAUUACACAAGAUGCAGGAGGAGCUCUGAGCAGAGAUGAAAUGUGGGGAUCGGCCACGUCGUCAUUCGUCAUCCUGUCUCAGCAAGUUCGUUUGCAGAGAGUAACUUGACAGUCCUUUCAGAAUUUGGAACAGCCGCACAUCAUGUGCCCUAGAGGGAGGUAUUAAUGGAUGAGGCGGCAGCCCUGUGGUUCACUUAAUUAAAAUCACUUGUUCCUGCAAUACUUACGGGUUAAGCACUCAUCCUGCAAUUCCUGCGCCCAGGGCAGGGCUGGAGGGGGUCCUGGGCUCUCUCUGCAGGAGCUGUUUCACACUUGGGCUCCCCACAUGCUCGGAACACGUGGUGCUUCAAGUCUCCGUGUUCACGCCUGCACGUGAGUGCGUUGUGCGCCGGGAGAGGCUUCACAGAAAUGCGUCCAGGCCUGAGCUAAACGUGGCCGCCCCUGGCCCCUGGGGGAGCCUGGCCCCGGCCCAGCGUCUGUCCUUCACUGAACACAGUGGGCCGUGCCCAGAUCGCAGAAUAAGAGGCCACAGGAGAGAUGCAGGGCAUCCGACUGGUCCAGCCACCUCCUUGCAUGUGGGGCAGGAGCCCGAGAUGAUCCCCAUUCUACAGACGAGGAAGCCAGGCUCUGAGCGGGCCCGUGACUUGCUGAGAUCCACAGCUGCUCGUGGCAGGGGUGGGACUGCGACCCAGGACUGUGUGACUCCACAGGGCCCCGCCUUCUUCUGCACCCUCCUCAGAGGGAGUAUUCCACCCCGUGACAAUCAGGUUUUCCUCACAUUAAAGAAAGGAAAAUGUAAAUUGUCAGGAGAGUGAUUCUCUAAUGAGAUGCUCAAGGGAAUUUCUACAACUUUGAGCAUUAACAGAAAUGCUAAUAGCUAAUGUUAAUAGCUAAUAUUAAUAGCUAAUGUUAACAUCUGCAAAGUGUAAGCACUUUGCUGGGAUUCACUGUUUAAACUUUAAACAAACUUAUGUGAGAUGAUUUUAUGUGACAUCAUUACCCCUGUUUUACAGAUGUGGAAAUUUCAUCAGGGAGAAAAGAAAUCACUUGCUCCAAAACCGCGCGUCCAGAAUUCUGUUUCCCUGGAAAUACGCCCAGGAUGGGGAUUUUCAUGCCUAUGGGAAGUUGCAUUGUUGGGCCUCAUUGUCCUAAUUCUUCACCCUCCCUUCCCUGGAUCCUUGCCCUUUGUCACGUGACUUUGUAGGUUUCCCGUCUAGAUGUGGAGUCUCUUGUCUCGUUGAGGUUGGAUUUGGUUAUGUGAUUUGCUCUGCCUGAUGGCAUGUGGGCAGAGGGUUGAAUGUGCUUGCCCAGCUGGUCCUGACCUCCUGUGCUCCGCCUUCUCUAUGAGAAGAAUAUGCCUCUGGUGUCACUGGUCCUGGGAAGAUGAGAGACUCGUGGACAGACCCGGACUCAACCCUUAGCUUGAAGCCAAGUAAAGCCAGGCCCGGCCUGGAUGUGAUGAACCCCAGCAGACGUGUAGACGUGAGAAUGAGAAAUAAAUGCUUAUUGUUGUUUGCAA